Molecule: ribosomal RNA, 500 nt
Filed under: uncultured Oscillibacter sp.
Lineage: Bacteria; Bacillati; Bacillota; Clostridia; Eubacteriales; Oscillospiraceae
Description: bacterial SSU rRNA
Rfam family: Bacterial small subunit ribosomal RNA
Source: RNAcentral
AGAGUUUGUAUCCUGGCUCAGGACAACGGCUGGCGGCGUGCUUAACACAUGCAAGUCGAACGGAGUACCCUCGAAAGAGAUUUCGGUCAAUGGAGAGGACUACUUAGUGGCGGACGGGUGAGUAACGCGUGAGGAACCUGCCUUUCAUGGGGGACAACAUUGGAAACGACUGCUAAUACCGCAUAACGUACUGGUAUCGCAUGGUACUGGUACCAAAGAUUUAUCGCUGAGAGAUGGCCUCGCGUCUGAUUAGCUAGUUGGUAGGGUAACGGCCUACCAAGGCGACGAUCAGUAGCCGGACUGAGAGGUUGGCCGGCCACAUUGGGACUGAGAUACGGCCCAGACUCCUACGGGAGGCAGCAGUGGGGAAUAUUGGGCAAUGGGCGCAAGCCUGACCCAGCAACGCCGCGUGAAGGAAGAAGGCCUUCGGGUUGUAAACUUCUUUUGACAGGGAAGAGCAGAAGACGGUACCUGUCGAAUAAGCCACGGCUAACUACGUG